Molecule: ribosomal RNA, 253 nt
Filed under: uncultured bacterium
Lineage: Bacteria
Description: partial 16S ribosomal RNA
Rfam family: Bacterial small subunit ribosomal RNA
Source: RNAcentral
UACGAAGGUGGCAAGCGUUGUUCGGAUUUACUGGGCGUACGGGGAGCGUAGGCGGUUGGAUAAGCCCUCCGUGAAAUCUCCAGGCUUAACCUGGAAAGUGCAGAGGGGACUGUUCAGCUAGAGGAUGGGAGAGGAGCGCGGAAUUCCCGGUGUAGCGGUGAAAUGCGUAGAGAUCGGGAGGAAGGCCGGUGGCGAAGGCGGCGCUCUGGAACAUUUCUGACGCUGAGGCUCGAAAGCGUGGGGAGCAAACAGG